Molecule: long non-coding RNA, 2303 nt
Organism: Rattus rattus (black rat)
Lineage: Eukaryota; Metazoa; Chordata; Mammalia; Rodentia; Muridae
Exons: 4
Source: RefSeq, a predicted model, not a curated record
GUCUACACUACACACAUGGCAGAGCUGGGUGUCUCUGGAUAUCGGUUGAAGUCCUAAAGCCGAGGACAGUAGACAGGUUUCUCACCGAACUUGGAGCUCAUCAAUUCAGCUAAAUUGGUUGGCCAGCAAGUCCCUGGGAUCUGCCUAUCUCUGCCUCUACCCCAGCUAGAGCCCUCAUAGGUCCCUGGGAUUCAACGUGGAUCCUCAGGUGUAUGUUUGUUUUGGCUCAGCUCUGAGCUCUCUGGGAACUCAAAGUCCUGACUAACGGCAUUGUUGGACCUGGGUGCCUCUGAGGAAGAUCUGUCUGAGAAAGAAGAGAUAGAGCUGAGAUGUUAAAUGUUUCCAACAAAAGCUAUCAGGGCAGAAUGUCCUGACUCAGCACUUCCCGGCAUUUUUUGAGGUUUUGUCCACAGACAAUGUACAGUUACUCCUUUUUGAGCAUGUGGUUUUCUUUAUUUAGUUUUUCCUCCCUUAAGCUUAUGGGUUUUCAUUGACGAGAUGGUUGUGCAAGUCUGAGGCGCAGGCACUGCCCGGAAGCUGGUUUACUCGCACGGAUGCCACACUGGAUAAGAGAAUGAGCAAGCAGAGGGGGACCAACUGUACCAUCACGAGAACAGGGUGUCUCCUCAUCGCCCAGGGAAGAUGUAGCUGGUUUAUGGAAGAAGAAUCCCACGGGUGGACAAACACUUGAAGCUCACCAAUAGGACCCGACACUCACCACCGCGGGGUUAGAAAGGACUGCCCAUGGCCUCUGACAUAAGGAGGCUUUUUUUUGUCUAGAGGACCUCAUCUGCCAAAGUGGGCUGGGAGAGGCCACCUGAGACUAGCAGUGGCUUGCCAGGUGUUAAAGAAGCACUAGAACCCGAUCCUCGCUUGCAGUCCCGUUUGUGGGGCUCCCCUACUUCCGGCACUCCUCUGCUUCCUCAAGUUCCCUUUCUCUCCUUUCAUUUUCUGUAAGGUCAAAGAUAAAGACCUGGCUUCAGGGUCCCACCACAGACAAGCUGUGCAACCGUUCGUGAGAUUUCAAGCUUGCUUGGACUCAGCUCCUUCAUUUUUGUAAACCAGAAAAGUAAGACCUGCUUUGAAAUGCUUCUGGCCUCAGAUCUAAAUGGAAGCCACAACAGCCUGUCUCUCAUAACGGAGAGUGAUUGGUCAAUGUCAGCCAUGUUCGUGCUGGUGAUUUGACUCUGGUAUGGGCCUCUGGGGCCAAUGGUGGCUCUUGGUAGCCGGUCUUGAAAUUCAUUUCGGGAAAGGUACUGUCCACUUUCUUAGAGUGUUGGGGGUGGCGCUGAGCUCUGAGAAGCUGGACCUGAAGAAGAGUCUAGCCAAGGGACCUCGGAUUUCUCCAGAGUUCAUGGGCUGAGCAGAGCCUGAACAUUCAUGCUGUGACAAGAUGCACAAUGGCUGCUUGGGCCCACAUAACCUCUUGUCUUCUACCACUGGCCUGAGCCAAUACAAUCAACCGUUCCACUCUCUCCCACUUGGCAACCUGAAAACUUCUGAGGAUCUAUGAUAACCACUUUGUCAUUACUGAGGAGAAAAUGAACAAAAAAGACAGCCACUGACAUAGGAAAGGGUCAGGCAAGGGCAAGUCUCCAAAAUUUGGCAGAAAGGGUUGGGGUCUGAAAAACAAAUGUAACUAGGCAAGGAGUCUGUCCUUCUUCCUUCUACUCCCCAUGCCCUCUCUGGACUCCUAUUCCAAGAUCUUUAAUUUUGAAAAUUUAAACAAGAAAGUGUAUUAAUCUUCAAGGGCUCUCAUUAAUCACCAUGCCUGGCCCAGUGGUGAGGGAGAAAGAGAGAGAUGACUCACUUCUACAGUUGAUUUCUUGGUAAUGGAGGGUCAGGGCCUGCCCUUACAUUACCCCUUUGUCGAACUAAUGGAGAAAACUCUCACUUAGGAAGCACCCAUUCUGGAGCAAUUUUUCAGUGGAAGAUUGCAGACAGUAAUAGCCACCAACAAGAAAAGAUUUCCCUUAGGGAAACGAGAGUGAGUGGCUUGGCAGAAUCAUGAGAAACACAGACCUUGCCCCGGAGAGUUGUGGGGUUCGAUGGCAGGGUUGAGUAAAGCUUCAGUGUGUGGCAUAUGAAGUGCAUCUGCAACAAACAAUGAACCUUUACCACAUCCCUUCUUGGUGCCAGGCACUGUGAAGACCUUCUUUCUGUCAUCGUUUGACCAGUAUGUGACAGGUGGCAUCACGUCCCCUGGUUUACUGAUACGAAUUCUGACAUGCAUGCCAAGUGACUUGUUAAAUACGACUUUUCUCAUUGCUGUAAUAAAAUACCCAACAAAGAAAGCAACUUAA